UGGUCGCGCUGCGUGGCUCCCACCUUACCCUUGCUUAUGCGCACCUUUUUGUUGUUUCCUCGGCGGGUCCGCCCGCCGAUGGGAAGCCCAUCAAACCCUUUGCAUCAGCAUGAAAACCUCUGAGCAAAAUCUAAAUAUUUACAACUUUCAACAAUGGAUCUCUUGGUUCUGGCAUCGAUGAAGAACGCAGCGAAAUGCGAUAAGUAGUGUGAAUUGCAGAAUUCAGUGAAUCAUCGAAUCUUUGAACGCACAUUGCGCCCCUUGGUAUUCCAUGGGGCAUGCCUGUUCGAGCGUCAUUUACACCCUCAAGCCCUGCUUGGUGUUGGGCGUCUGUCCCGCCACUUCGGCGCGGACUCGCCCCAAAGGAUUGGCAGCGGCCUGUCCCCAGCUUCUCGCGCAGCAGUUCGCGCUUCUCGAGGCAUAAGGGGGGGCCCGCGUCCACGAAGCCCAUUUCUUGACUUGACCUCGGAUCAGGUAGGGAUACCCGC
RNAcentral lists this ribosomal RNA (488 nucleotides) under Dothideomycetes sp. MX416. Its description in RNAcentral is "eukaryotic LSU rRNA". The stretch from base 143 to 296 matches the Rfam family "5.8S ribosomal RNA". The record is from RNAcentral. Lineage: Eukaryota; Fungi; Ascomycota; Dothideomycetes.